AAUCAACGCUGGCGGCGUGCCUAACACAUGCAAGUCGAACGCGGUUACUCCGCAAGGGUGACUGAGUGGCGAACGGGUGAGUAACACGUGGGUGAUCUACCUUCGAGUGGGGAUAACGUUCCGAAAGGAACGCUAAUACCGCAUGACGUUCUGGGUUUGAAGACCUUGGAAACCGAAAGACUGGGGACCGCAAGGCCUGGCGCUUGGGACGAGGACGCCCGCGUCCGAUUAGCUAGGUUGGUGGGAAUGGCCCACCAAGGCGACGAUCGGUAGCCGGCCUGAGAGGGCGGACGGCCA
Molecule: ribosomal RNA, 297 nt
Filed under: uncultured bacterium
Lineage: Bacteria
Description: partial 16S ribosomal RNA
Rfam family: Bacterial small subunit ribosomal RNA
Source: RNAcentral